GUGGAGAUGUAGGGGGUGGGGCGGGGCCAGGAGAGUGACAGCCGGCGGGCGGGGCUUGCAGACCAUCACUCACCAAGGCUCGGUACUCAGGACCCCGGUGAGCCCGCCAGUCUGGACUGGAGUUAUCAGUGCGGGGAACCAGGGAUGGAGCGUCAGGACUGAGUUCACGGUACUGAUGGAGACGUAGUAGGUCAGGAACAAGCACUCCACCGCUGAGCUACAGGCACUCCAUGCACUGAGCUUCCAGCACUCAUCCCGCCAGCAGAGACCCUGUUUGCUCACGAGAUCCGGGUCCUCCCUCUGGCGUCAGGACCCGGACACAGCGUCUCAGCACCGUACGGGGCACUGGGUAGGGCAGAGCUGCUGACGUCAUGGUGGACGGGAAGUAGAGAGAGAGGAGACUGGGGUCCCAGUGUCGCCUAGGACGUGCCGCUAUGACGUCACUUCGUCCGAGCAGCAGCGCAUCGUGGGAGCACGCAAUGGAGCAGAGAUGCUGACGUCAUGGCGGACAGGAAGCGAGAGAGCGAUCAUAGUACUUGGUGGCAGUGGGGUCGUGUGCACUUCUGUUAACCGCACCACGGGGAGGUGCUUUGUGCUGAAAGCCCAGUUCAUGCACAGCGUCCUGAAGCUCCCGCAGCUGCAGUCCACACGGGCAGCUGGGCUGGCAGGAAACGGAACCGGGACCUUAAAGGAAGAGUGACGUCAGCGCUCGGCGGCAGGUGGCGCCACGGUCCUGAAAAGCGCAGCUCUGUCUGACGGCGUUUUCGGAGGAUCCACCUCCUCCUCCUCCUCCUCCUCCUCCUUCUGUCUUUUUGAGACAGGGUCUCCCUGUAGUCCAAGCUGGCCUGAAACUCACUAUGUAGACCAGGCUGGCCUUCCAAGUGCUGA
Molecule: long non-coding RNA, 888 nt
Filed under: Nannospalax galili (Upper Galilee mountains blind mole rat)
Lineage: Eukaryota; Metazoa; Chordata; Mammalia; Rodentia; Spalacidae
Description: lncRNA (ENSNGAG00000024427.1)
Source: RNAcentral